CGGGACACGUGGUAUCCUGUCUGAAUAUGGGGGGACCAUCCUCCAAGGCUAAAUACUCCUGACUGACCGAUAGUGAACCAGUACCGUGAGGGAAAGGCGAAAAGAACCCCGGCGAGGGGAGUGAAAAAGAACCUGAAACCGUGUACGUACAAGCAGUGGGAGCCUCUUAAUGGGGUGACUGCGUACCUUUUGUAUAAUGGGUCAGCGACUUAUAUUCUGUAGCAAGGUUAACCGAAUAGGGGAGCCGAAGGGAAACCGAGUCUUAACUGGGCGUUAAGUUGCAGGGUAUAGACCCGAAACCCGGUGAUCUAGCCAUGGGCAGGUUGAAGGUUGGGUAACACUAACUGGAGGACCGAACCGACUAAUGUUGAAAAAUUAGCGGAUGACUUGUGGCUGGGGGUGAAAGGCCAAUCAAACCGGGAGAUAGCUGGUUCUCCCCGAAAGCUAUUUAGGUAGCGCCUCGUGAAUUCAUCUCCGGGGGUAGAGCACUGUUUCGGCAAGGGGGUCAUCCCGACUUACCAACCCGAUGCAAACUGCGAAUACCGGAGAAUGUUAUCACGGGAGACACACGGCGGGUGCUAACGUCCGUCGUGAAGAGGGAAACAACCCAGACCGCCAGCUAAGGUCCCAAAGUCAUGGUUAAGUGGGAAACGAUGUGGGAAGGCCCAGACAGCCAGGAUGUUGGCUUAGAAGCAGCCAUCAUUUAAAGAAAGCGUAAUAGCUCACUGGUCGAGUCGGCCUGCGCGGAAGAUGUAACGGGGCUAAACCAUGCAC
This 774-nucleotide ribosomal RNA is filed under the name Escherichia coli. Its description in RNAcentral is "partial 23S ribosomal RNA". It matches the Rfam family "Bacterial large subunit ribosomal RNA", at positions 418 to 1194 of the family's 2925-position model. The record is from RNAcentral. Lineage: Bacteria; Pseudomonadati; Pseudomonadota; Gammaproteobacteria; Enterobacterales; Enterobacteriaceae.